Molecule: ribosomal RNA, 274 nt
Filed under: uncultured bacterium
Lineage: Bacteria
Description: partial 16S ribosomal RNA
Rfam family: Bacterial small subunit ribosomal RNA
Source: RNAcentral
AUACGGGGGGUGCAAGCGUUAUUCGGAUUUAUUGGGCGUAAAGAGCGCGUAGGCGGCUUGGUAAGUCAGAUGUGAAAGCCCGGGGCUCAACCCCGGAAGUGCAUUUGAAACUAUCAGGCUUGAGUAUGGGAGAGGGAAGUGGAAUUCCUGGUGUAGAGGUGAAAUUCGUAGAUAUCAGGAGGAACACCGGUGGCGAAGGCGACUUCCUGGACCAAUACUGACGCUGAGGCGCGAAGGCGUGGGGAGCAAACAGGAUUAGAAACCCUAGUAGUCC